ACAGGCCCUAUAUAAAUAAAAAGCUACUCAAAAGAAGGGGAGGCAAGUCGUAACAUGGUAAGUGUACCGGAAGGUGCACUUGGAAUAUACCAGAGUAUA
This 99-nucleotide ribosomal RNA is filed under the name Melanotaenia australis (western rainbowfish). Its description in RNAcentral is "partial 12S ribosomal RNA". Lineage: Eukaryota; Metazoa; Chordata; Actinopteri; Atheriniformes; Melanotaeniidae. The record is from RNAcentral.